This 710-nucleotide long non-coding RNA is filed under the name Anser brachyrhynchus (Pink-footed goose). RNAcentral describes it as "lncRNA (ENSABRG00000007355.1)". Lineage: Eukaryota; Metazoa; Chordata; Aves; Anseriformes; Anatidae. The record is from RNAcentral.
AUGGAUCUUUUGCAUCCUCUUCUGCUGUCCUGUGUUCUGAGACGGGUCUCAUUUCCACCAACAGAUAGAAUUUUGCAUAACACAAAAAGGAACUAAGAAGAGGUUUAAUGCCAAGUACAGAAAGAGGAGGAAAGAAAAGGAGAUAAAAUGAUCUACUGGAAGGAAUAGAGAAGAAGGAAAGCUUGCUUUCUCAUUCAGCUCUUCAAGCCAAGACUUGGCAAAGGAAGGACAGUGCUGUACAAGGAAGAAGAGAUGGAGACCAAGAGACAAUGACAAGGAGGAAAUUCUUAGGAUUCCCUGAGGAGAAAGAGAAAAAGGGAAGUAUUUUUUCCCGCAUGAGACAGAACUGCUGGUGCAGACAGCUGGCUGAAAUUGUUCCCACAAUCUUCUGAAGAGCGGCCAGUCUCAAGAUGAAUCCCGUCACCUGAUCCAAACAUGAUGUAGUUCCAGGUUGAACAGAUGACUUCAGAUUUCCUUGAAACAAUACAAAAAUUCAAGAUUCCUGAGUGUGAAGUGCAGACUUCAUUGAUAAUUCCUCAGUCCCUUUUUAUAUUUUAUUCCCAUAGUCUUUGCUAGCACGCUGAAAAAGAUUAAUAUGUUGGGGUUUUCAUUCCUUUAUGUCAUCAGUGUUUAAGUACAGACCUAAUGGUCCCUGUCAUUGCAAGCUCUAACAGUAUGCCAGAAGGUAAUAAAUGUGCUUGACAAGAACA